This 830-nucleotide unclassified non-coding RNA is filed under the name Hevea brasiliensis (rubber tree). Lineage: Eukaryota; Viridiplantae; Streptophyta; Magnoliopsida; Malpighiales; Euphorbiaceae. The record is from RNAcentral.
UUAAUAUAUAUAUAUAUAUAUAUAAAGGUAAUUCUCCAUUGACGGUCCUAUUUACCGUUCAGUAGGUCUGUGGCUUUAGCAAGAGUUUGCAUUACAUCAACCUGAGCUCGAAGAGAUAUUAUAUAGUCUAGGGUUUCUUCAAUCAAAGAGAUAUCAUCCAUAAAUUCACCUCCAGGUACAAGACUCUUCAAGACUUGUGUUCUUUUCUUUACCAUCUUUUUUGCAAUAGAUUUAGCAAGCACCGAUAGAGGCACACUACUUCUUACUCUUCUAGCACGGCGACUCUUUCUCAAGAUUUUCUUGCUUCUAAUAAUAACCCACUUGUUGGGUGCGAUUAGUCCAAUUGAUGAAACCUUCUUUAGCUUCUCAGACUCAGAAGCUAACAUACGCUCAACAAGGACUUUAUCACCAUAAUCUCUUGAAGCUUUUGCAACAAGAGCACGACUCCAACAAGUCAUACCAUUUCUUGUGGAAGCUAUAGCAAUGUCUGCCGAUAGCUUUAUUGCCUUCUUUCUUUCCAACAUGCUCAUGUUCUGCUUUGCAAAAUCACAUAACUGGAGACCCAAUAUCCAUUUCUUGAGGAAUUCUUGCUUGAUUGACUGAGGAGCACGCAUUCUUACUGUAAGACUCCUUUCCUAUUGAUUAAGAGGAAGAGGAGGAGGACAAAAUCACGAGAAAAGCUUAUAAAUAUACAUGUGAGAGAGACAAGUUGCAGAAUAAUGCAGUUCUAGCGUUCCACAGAUCCAAGAAAGUGAAUAACAAUCAUAGAAUGAAGUUUCAGAGAGAAAGAGAGAGAGAGGGAGGAAUAGAGAAAGAAAAGGAAAGAGUGA